Molecule: ribosomal RNA, 468 nt
Filed under: uncultured bacterium
Lineage: Bacteria
Description: partial 16S ribosomal RNA
Rfam family: Bacterial small subunit ribosomal RNA
Source: RNAcentral
GACGAACGCUGGCGGCGUGCUUAACACAUGCAAGUCGAACGGAAAGGCCCUGCUUUUGUGGGGUGCUCGAGUGGCGAACGGGUGAGUAACACGUGAGUAACCUGCCCUUGACUUUGGGAUAACUUCAGGAAACUGGGGCUAAUACCGGAUAGGAGCUCCUGCUGCAUGGUGGGGGUUGGAAAGUUUCGGCGGUUGGGGAUGGACUCGCGGCUUAUCAGCUUGUUGGUGGGGUAGUGGCUUACCAAGGCUUUGACGGGUAGCCGGCCUGAGAGGGUGACCGGCCACAUUGGGACUGAGAUACGGCCCAGACUCUUACGGGAGGCAGCAGUGGGGAAUAUUGCACAAUGGGCGGAAGCCUGAUGCAGCAACGCCGCGUGCGGGAUGACGGCCUUCGGGUUGUAAACCGCUUUCGCCUGUGACGAAGCGUGAGUGACGGUAAUGGGUAAAGAAGCACCGGCUAACUACGUG